AUAUUAAAGUUGUUGCAGUUAAAAAGCUCGUAGUUGAAUUUCGGGAUCAAAGAAUCGGUCAUGCCUUGGUAUGUACUGGUUUUAUUGGUUCUCACCUUCUAAAGAACCAUGAUGUCAUUCAUUUGAUGUUAUGGGGAAUUAGGACUGUUACCUUGAAAAAAUUAGAGUGUUUAAAGCAAGCUUACGCUUGAAUACAUUAGCAUGGAAUAAUGAAAUAGGACAUCAGAUUCUAUUUUGUUGGUUUCUAGGAUCGAUGUAAUGAUUAAUAGGGAUAGUUGGGGGCAUUAGUAUUCAAUUGUCAGAGGUGAAAUUCUUGGAUUUAUUGAAGACUAACUACUGCGAAAGCAUUUGCCAAGGAUGUUUUCAUUAAUCAAGAACGAAAGUUAGGGGAUCGAAGACGAUCAGAUACCGUCGUAGUCU
Molecule: ribosomal RNA, 420 nt
Filed under: uncultured Glomus
Lineage: Eukaryota; Fungi; Glomeromycota; Glomeromycetes; Glomerales; Glomeraceae
Description: SSU rRNA
Rfam family: Eukaryotic small subunit ribosomal RNA
Source: RNAcentral